RNAcentral lists this ribosomal RNA (406 nucleotides) under uncultured bacterium. RNAcentral's name for it is "partial 16S ribosomal RNA". It matches the Rfam family "Bacterial small subunit ribosomal RNA", at positions 30 to 526 of the family's 1533-position model. The record is from RNAcentral.
AUUGAACGCUAGCGGCAGGCUUAACACAUUCAAGUCGAGCGCACGGCGGACGGGUGAGUAAUGUAUGGGAAACUGCCUGAUGGAGGGGGAUAACUACUGGAAACGGUAGCUAAUAACGCCUACCAUCAGAUGUGCACAGAUGGGAUUAGCGAGGAGGUGGGGUAAUGGCUCACCUAGGCGACGAUACCUAGCUGGUCAGAGAUGAUGACCAGCUGCACUGUAACGUAGACACUGUCCAGACUCCUACGGUAGUCAGCAGUGGGGAAUAUUGCACAAUGGGCGCAUGCCUGAUGCAGCCAUGCCGCGUGUGGGAAGAAGUCCUUCGGGUUGUAAAGCACUUUCAGCGAGGAGGCGUUACUCGCAGAAGAAGCACCGGCUAACUCCGUGCCAGCCGCCGCGGUAAUAC